This 582-nucleotide ribosomal RNA is filed under the name uncultured bacterium. Its description in RNAcentral is "partial 16S ribosomal RNA". It matches the Rfam family "Bacterial small subunit ribosomal RNA", at positions 355 to 935 of the family's 1533-position model. The record is from RNAcentral.
UGGGGAAUUUUGGACAAUGGGCGAAAGCCUGAUCCAGCAAUGCCGCGUGUGUGAAGAAGGCCUUCGGGUUGUAAAGCACUUUUGUCCGGAAAGAAAUCCUUGGCUCUAAUACAGUCGGGGGAUGACGGUACCGGAAGAAUAAGCACCGGCUAACUACGUGCCAGCAGCCGCGGUAAUACGUAGGGUGCAAGCGUUAAUCGGAAUUACUGGGCGUAAAGCGUGCGCAGGCGGUUUGCUAAGACCGAUGUGAAAUCCCCGGGCUCAACCUGGGAACUGCAUUGGUGACUGGCAGGCUAGAGUAUGGCAGAGGGGGGUAGAAUUCCACGUGUAGCAGUGAAAUGCGUAGAGAUGUGGAGGAAUACCGAUAGCGAAGGCAGCCCCCUGGGCCAAUACUGACGCUCAUGCACGAAAGCGUGGGGAGCAAACAGGAUUAGAUACCCUGGUAGUCCACGCCCUAAACGAUGUCAACUAGUUGUUGGGGAUUCAUUUCCUUAGUAACGUAGCUAACGCGUGAAGUUGACCGCCUGGGGAGUACGGUCGCAAGAUUAAAACUUAAAGGAAUUGACGGGGUCAUAGCUGUUU